UUAACUGAAACCAAAAAGAGGUAUAUUACUGUUAAUAAUACAAUUGAAUUAUAUUCCAGUUAAG
This 64-nucleotide transfer RNA is filed under the name Symplocodes ridleyi. RNAcentral's name for it is "tRNA-Asn". Lineage: Eukaryota; Metazoa; Arthropoda; Insecta; Blattodea; Blattellidae. The record is from RNAcentral.